This is a small nuclear RNA of Nyctereutes procyonoides (raccoon dog), 107 nucleotides long. NCBI's taxonomy places the organism in Eukaryota, Metazoa, Chordata, Mammalia, Carnivora, Canidae. The record is from RefSeq and is a predicted model, not a curated record.
GUGCUCACUUUGGCAGCACAUAUACUAAAAUUGGAACGAUACAGAGAAGAUAAGCAUAGCCUCUGUGCAAGGAUGACAUGAAAAUCCCUGAAGUGUUACAUAAUUUU